AUGGAAAGAAUAUAAGCUUAUAUGCAGACAUGUUACCUUACUUGCUGAAUACAGACAUACUACCUUACUUAUGGAAUUUCUUUCAGUUCCUCAAACUGAAAUAUGCCUCAAAGAACAUUUUAAAAGUUCAAAAUAUUCUCAGAUCUGUCCUUUCAUCUGGUAUCAGCAAUAACCCUAUGAGCACAGGGCAGGGGAACAGGCAUUAUCCACUCUCUCCCUCAAAAGUUCUCCACAAUAUGCCCAUUUUUCUACUAUACAUAGGCUUAUAUCCCAAACAAGUUACAAUUAUUCAUUCAACAAAGAUUUUUUUAAGCUCCUAUUAUGCGUUAGGCAAUGUUUUAAGGCAUUAGUUUUCUCCCUCUAUGCUUUCUCAAAGUGUUUCUCCUAUUUAACUUUUUUAAAAAAAUAAGGGUGAAAUAUUACACAAUUUACUCAAAAGUCAUCCUAAAACUAAGGCAUUUUCUACGUGCCUUUUCCUCAGAAUUUUCCAUUUCUGUAUUUAUUCACAGUCAUGGAAAUAUCAGUUAUCCAUCAGCUCAAAUUAUAACCUCUAUGAGAGCAAUCCCCAAAUUUCCCUCUCUAAAUCUAACUUCCUUCCUAAACGCCAGGCUUAAAUUAACAAAGCUCUCCCAAGAAUCUUCACCUUAAGGUGAAUAUAUCAACAUCUUAAAAAAUUAGCAAAUAUCUCCACAAACACACAGACACUCUCACACUUCUCUUCCUCUUUAUUAAUAACACCAGCAUCCUUCCUAGUGUCCAGACCUGGAAUUUCAAAAGCAACUUUGAUUCCUUCUUGUGGUGUUAUUUUAUUUAUGUAUGUGGUUGUGUUUAUAUAUCUAUAUUUUUAAAAAUAGGUUUUCGUCCACAGUUCCUGGCUUAUAACUCCCAUAGCCCUUUGUGUUAGUCUGUCUUGAGACUGGGUAAUUGGUAAAGAAAAGUGGUUUAUUGCGGCUCAUGGUUCUGCAGGACUAUAGAGGAAGCAUGGUGCUGGAAUCUGCUUUCAGUGAGGCCUCAGGAAGCUUUUACUCAUGGCAGAAGGCAAAGGGAGAGCUAGCACAUCACAUGACCAGAGAGAGCAAGAGAAGGGGGGAGGAGCCAGGCUCCUUUAAACCAGUAGUCCCCAACCUCCGGCACCAGGGACUGACUGAUUUAGUGGAAGACAAUUUUUCCACAGACAAGGGGUCAGGGAAGAUGAUUUCAGGAUGAAACUGUUUCAGCUCAGAUCAUCAACCAUUAGAUUCUCAUAAGGAGCACACAACCUAUAUCCCUCACGUGAGGAGUUCACAAUAGGGUUUGCGCUCCUGUGAAAAUCUAAUGCUGCUGCUGAUCUAAGCUCUGCUGAUCAGAAGGUGGAGCUCAGACAGUAAUGCUCGCUUGCCUGUGGCUCACACCUCCUGCUGUGUGGCCCAGCUCCUAACAGGCCAUAGACAGGUACCGGUCCAUGGAGUAGGGGUUGAGGACCCCUGCUUUAAACAACCAGCUCUCACUUGAACUCAUUACCACAGGGGAGGGCAGCAAACCAUUCAUGAGGGAUCCACCUUUAUGAUCCAAACACCCACCAGACCCCACUUCCAACAAUGGAGGUCUCAUUAAAUACGAGAUUUGGAGGGGACACACAUUCAAGCUAUAUCACCCUUGUUAUAGUCUUUUAUUACAAUGUUUGGUGUGUUAGGCCUCAGGAAACAAUAUCCCUGACCUUCUCCUGCCCUCCUUUCAUCUGCACCAAGGCAGGACUCUAAUUUUCCUCCACUUUUCUGACUGUGGGUCAUAAUGCCCUCAUUUCAGAGAGGGUCCUAUGGGGGGUCUUCCCAUUGGGGAAAGUGCUGAUGUCAUGAAAAUUCCAUAAAAAACCAAAAGGACUGGCCUCACAGCUGAACAUGUGAAGGUGGGCAAGAAGGUGAGCAAGAACUCAUCCACUUGCUGGGAGAGUGGCAUACCCUAACUCCACGGAAACAGAGGCUCCUACAUUUGGGACCCUUCCAGACCUUGCCCUAUGGCAUCCAGACCUUGCCAUAUGGCUGUUUACUUGUAUCCUUUAACAUAUCCUUCAUAAUAAACCAGUAAACGUGUUUCUCUGAGUUCUGUGAGUAACUCUAGCAAAUUAAUCCAACCCAAAGAGGGGGUUGUGGAAACCCCAACUCGAAGCCAUCUGGUAGAAGUUCCAGAGAUGCAGACUUACAACCAGUGGGAAGGAGGGCCCAGACCCCAAGACUGAGCCCUCAGCCGUUGGGAAUCUGACACUAUCUCUAGGUAGUGACAGAAAUGAAUUGAAAGCCAAUUAGCUGGUGUUCACUGUAGAACUGAUUGCUUAUUUGGCAGGGAGAAAUACUGUGCAUUUGGACACAGAAGUCCUCUGUGUUGAUUGUUGUGGUGUAAGAGCAGAGGAAAAACAAUUUGGGAGUUUUUCCUAAACACUUCUUAUCUUCCUAGACAUAAAACUACUGCCAACUUGUAUACUGCACCUCCAGUAUCAUUGAAAUUAUUCUCGUUUUCCAUUCCUUCAUUCAUUACUACCCUCUCCAUAUCAUACUGUUCCAACCCUUCCUACAACUAGGGAAAGAUUUAUCUCCCUAAUAGGCUCUUUCUUCCUAAACCACAGGCUUAAUCAUUUCACUCUAAUAGCUCAGAAGUGUACAAAUUGCUAUUCAAUAACAAAUAAAGCACAAACUAUUCACCAUGGCAUUCAAAAGCCACCAUGAAAGGCUCCAGCCUCCCUUCUAGCCAAAUCAGACUAUGUGUAACUCUACAAAUACUACCUUGUUUUCACCUUGUCUUUUCACAAUGCAGUCAUCAUUCAAUUUUUGCUUGUCAAAACACUAUGUUGAGUUACAGGGAAAAGUAUACUUGCAUAAAGCCAUUUUUAAUCCCCUUUAACUGAAUACAUUACCUCCCUCUGAUAUGGUUGCUCUGUAUCCCUACCCAAAUCUCAUGUUGAACUGUUACUCCCAGUGUUGGGGGAGGGACCUGGUGGUAGGUGAUUGAAUCAUGAAGGCAAAUUUCCCCUUGCUGUUCUCGUGAUAGUAAAUUCCCGCAAGAUCUGAUGGUUUAAAAGUGUGUGGCGCUUCCCCACUUUACUCUCUCUGUCUCCUGUCACCAUGUGAAGAUGUUCUUGCUUCCCCUUUGCCUUCUGCCAUGAUUGUAAGUCUUCUGAGGCCUCUCCAGCCAUGACUCCUGUACAGCCUACAGAACUGUGAGUCAAUUAAACCUUUUCUUCAUAAAUUACCCAGUCUCAGGUAGUUCUUUGUAGCAGUAUGAGAACAAGGUAAUACAGAAAACUGGUACCAGAGAAGUGUGGCACUGCUAUAAAGAUACCUCAAAAUGCAGAAGCAACUUUGGAACUGGGUAAUAGGCAGAGGCUGGAACAGUUUGGAGAGAUCAGAAGAAGACAGAAGAUGUGGGAAAGUUUCAGACUUCCUAGAGACUUGCUCAAUAAUUGUAACCAAAAUGCUGACAGUGAUAUGGACAGUGAAAAUCCAGGCUGAUGUGGUCUCAGAUGGAGAUGAGGAACUUAUUGGGAACCAGAGUAACGGUCACUCUUGCUAUGAUUUAGCAGAGACUGGCAGCAUUGUGCCCCUGCCCUAGAGAUGUAUGGAACUUUGAACUUGAGAGAUGAUUUAGGGUACCUGGCAGAAGAAAUUUCUAAGCAGCAAAGCAUUCAAGAUGUGACCUGGUAUUUUUCUAAAAGUAUAUGCUCAUAUGUAUGAAGAGACGGUGUGAAAUUGGAACUUAUGUUUAAAAGGGAAGCAGAACAUAAAAGUUUGGAAAUUUUGCAGCCUCACCAUGCUAUAGAAAAGACAAACCCAUUUUGGGGGGAGAAAUUCAAGCCAGUGGUAGAAAUUUACAUAAAUAACAAGAAGCCAAAUGCUAAUAGCCAAGACAAUGGGGAAAAUGUCUCCCAGGGCAUGUCAGAGAUCUUCAUGGCUGCCCCUCCAGUACAGGCCUGGAGGUCUAAGAGGGAAAAAUGGUUUCAUGGGCCAGUCCCAGAGCCCUGCUGCUAACUGCAUCCUUGGGACUUGGUGCCCCGCAUCCCAGCCACUCCAGCUCCAGCUGUGGCUGUGGCUAAAAGGGGCCAAUGUACAACUCGGGCCAUGGCUUCAGAGGGUGCAAGCCACAAGCCUUGGUGGAUUCCACAUGGUGUUGGGUCUGUGGGUGCACAAAAGGCAAGAGAAGAGGUUUGGGAGCCUCCACCUUGAUUUCAGAGGAUGUAUGGAAAUGCCUGGAUGUCCAGGCAGGACUCCGCUACAGGGCCAGAGUCCUCAUGGAGACCCUCUACUAGGGCAGUGCAGAGGGGGAAAUGUGGGACUGGAACCCUCACAGAGAGUCUCCACUAGGGCACUGCCUAAUGGAGCUGUGGGAAGAGGGCCAUCAUCCUCCAGACCCCACAAGGGUAGAUCCACUGACAGCUUGCACUGUGUGCCUGCAAAAGUUGCAGGCACUCAAUGCCAGCCCAUUAAAGCAGCUGUGGGGGCUGUAUCCUGCAGAGCCAUGGGGCAGAGCUGCCAAAGGCCUUAGGAGGCCACCCCUUGCAUCAGCGUGCCCUGGAUGUGAGACAUGGAAUCAAAGGAUAUGGGAGCUUGAAGAUUUCAUGACUUCCCUGUUGGGUUUCAGACUUGCAUGGGGCCUGUAGCCCAUUUGUUUUGGCUAUUUCUCCCAUUUGCAACAGGAACAUUUACCCAUUCCCUGUACUCUCAUUGUACCUUGGAAGAAACUAACUUGUUUUUUAUUUUACAGGCUCAUAGGUGGAAUGGACUUGCCUUGUCUCAGAUAAGACUUUGGACUUUUCAGUUAAUGCUGGAAGGAGUUAAGACUUUGGGGGACUGUUGGGAAGGCAUGAUUGUGUCUUGACAUGUGAGAAUAAUAUGAGAUUUGGGAGAGGCUGGGGAGAAUGAUAUGGUUUGGCUCUGUACCCCCAUCCAAAUCUCAUGUUGAAUUGUAAUUCCCAGUGUUGGGAGGGGACCUGGUAGGAGGUGAUUGGAUCAUGGGAGCAAAUUUCCCCUUGCUGCUCUCGUGAUAGUGAGUUCUCACAAGAUCUGAUGGUUUAAAAGUGUGUGGCACAUUCCCCUUCACAUGCUGUUUCUCCUGUCACUAUGUGAAGAUGUGCUUGCUUCCCCUUUGCCUUCUACCAUGACUGUAAGAUUCCUGAGGCCUCCCCCGCCAUGCUUCCUGUACAGCCUGCAGAACUGAGUCAAUUAAACAUUGCUUCUUUAUAAACUA
Molecule: long non-coding RNA, 5214 nt
Organism: Homo sapiens (human)
Lineage: Eukaryota; Metazoa; Chordata; Mammalia; Primates; Hominidae
Exons: 1
Source: RefSeq, marked validated